This 559-nucleotide ribosomal RNA is filed under the name uncultured bacterium. RNAcentral's name for it is "bacterial SSU rRNA". It matches the Rfam family "Bacterial small subunit ribosomal RNA", at positions 120 to 674 of the family's 1533-position model. The record is from RNAcentral.
GGGGAUCUGCCCGAUAGAGGGGGAUAACCACUGGAAACGGUGGCUAAUACCGCAUAACGUCGCAAGACCAAAGAGGGGGACCUUCGGGCCUCUCACUAUCGGAUGAACCCAGAUGGGAUUAGCUAGUAGGCGGGGUAAUGGCCCACCUAGGCGACGAUCCCCAGCUGGUCUGAGAGGAUGACCAGCCACACUGGAACUGAGACACGGUCCAGACUCCUACGGGAGGCAGCAGUGGGGAAUAUUGCACAAUGGGCGCAAGCCUGAUGCAGCCAUGCCGCGUGUAUGAAGAAGGCCUUCGGGUUGUAAAGUACUUUCAGCGGGGAGGAAGGCGAUGCGGUUAAUAACCGCGUCGAUUGACGUUACCCGCAGAAGAAGCACCGGCUAACUCCGUGCCAGCAGCCGCGGUAAUACGGAGGGUGCAAGCGUUAAUCGGAAUUACUGGGCGUAAAGCGCACGCAGGCGGUCUGUUAAGUCAGAUGUGAAAUCCCCGGGCUUAACCUGGGAACUGCAUUUGAAACUGGCAGGCUUGAGUCUUGUAGAGGGGGGUAGAAUUCCAGGU